RNAcentral lists this ribosomal RNA (467 nucleotides) under uncultured bacterium. RNAcentral's name for it is "partial 16S ribosomal RNA". It matches the Rfam family "Bacterial small subunit ribosomal RNA", at positions 29 to 507 of the family's 1533-position model. The record is from RNAcentral.
ACGAACGCUGGCGGCGUGCUUAACACAUGCCAGUCGAACGGAAAGGCCCUGCUUUUGUGGGGUGCUCGAGUGGCGAACGGGUGAGUAACACGUGAGUAACCUGCCCUUGACUUUGGGAUAACUUCAGGAAACUGGGGCUAAUACCGGAUAGGAGCUCCUGCUGCAUGGUGGGGGUUGGAAAGUUUCGGCGGUUGGGGAUGGACUCGCGGCUUAUCAGCUUGUUGGUGGGGUAGUGGCUUACCAAGGCUUUGACGGGUAGCCGGCCUGAGAGGGUGACCGGCCACAUUGGGACUGAGAUACGGCCCAGACUCCUACGGGAGGCAGCAGUGGGGAAUAUUGCACAAUGGGCGGAGGCCUGAUGCAGCAACGCCGCGUGCGGGAUGACGGCCUUCGGGUUGUAAACCGCUUUCGCCUGUGACGAAGCGUGAGUGACGGUAAUGGGUAAAGAAGCACCGGCUAACUACGUG